Mercenaria mercenaria is the source of this 4699-nucleotide long non-coding RNA. RefSeq lists it as uncharacterized. The record is from RefSeq and is a predicted model, not a curated record. The transcript has 3 exons. Lineage: Eukaryota; Metazoa; Mollusca; Bivalvia; Venerida; Veneridae.
UAUGCAAUGACAUUUUGAUUUAACCAUAUUUUAUUGCUCAUAUAUACAUGCAAGUAGAUACAUAGAAUUACAAAAAUACAAAAGCAAAUGGGUUGGGCAACAAGUUCUAACAACAUUACAUUAAGCCCUUCCCAGUAUAUGCAAUGAUAUGUAUCUAGUAUGAUAAUGUUAUUAUGAUGGUGAUGAUGAUGAUGAUGUUGGUGGUGGUGGUGGUAUGAUGAAGAUUAUGAUAUUAUGACGAUAUGACAAUAAUGUUGUUCAUGAUGAUGAUGUUUAUGCUAUUAUGAUAAUAUGGUGAUAUACAGUUUGUGUCUAUAUGAUCAUAAUGAUAUGAUGAUGAUGAUGGUAUGAUGAUGAUUUGGUGACAAUAUGGCGUUGAUAGCGAUUAAAUUACGAUCAUAAAUAUGAUAAUAAUUAUAAUUAAUGAUAAUGAUAAUGAUAUAACAUGAUGAUGAUAAGACUAUGCUGAGAUGAUAAUGAUUACCAUGAUGGUAUGUUAUGAGAAUAACAUGAUAUGAUAUUACACGAUAAUAUGUAUUUGAUCACGAUGAUGAUAUGGUAUAACGAAUCUGUUAUGAUGAUGGUGAUGGCAUGAUAAUGAUGACAAUAAUGAUUGUAAUAUUACGAAAUGAUAAUGAUAUGAAAUCAUGUUGGUACGUUAUAGUACGUUAAGGACGAUGGUGAAGAUGACAAUGGUGAUAAUAUUCUGACGAUGAUAAGACAACAAUGGCGAUGAUGAUGAUGAUGAUGUUGAUGAUGUUGACAAUUACUGAUCUCAAUAAUUAUGAAAAUGUUCCAUAUUACUAUUUCGUUUUAAUAUAUUGUAAUCAUUAAGUAUUUCAGUUUGCUAGUAAUACUCCAACAUUAGGGGAAACAUCAGGUAAAAUGAAUCAAAGGUUAAAGGUAACGUCAGGUAAAAGGUAAAAUUACGUUUGACUUAGUUUUGAAGUUGUUUAAAACUGUUUUCAUUGGUAAAUAUUUCAGAAACUAAAUUUAAAAGGAAUGAUAUUAAUAUAUUAAUAUGGAAGGGCAUUUAAGUAAAAAAUCCUUGCAUGUUAAUGACUUAUUAUUGCAUGUUAAUGACUUAUUAUUGUGUGUUAAUGACUUAUCCAUUGGUGUAAAUCACUUGUUAUUGCAUGUAAAUGAUUUGUUAUUUUGUGUAAGUGACUUAUUCUUGAAUGUAACUGAGAAAGUGAUUAUGCUGUAUUUCUUGUUUACUUGUCAUUCUUAACAUGUUUGUGUGUUCUUAUUCUUGAUGCAUUAAUGAAACAUUUCAGAUUUAUUGACGAUAUUCACUGCCACCAUUAAAUCUACAUCGGUCUAAAUGAAAUAUAUCGUGUAGCAGGUUAUCGAAUGGAAGAAGCAGCAAGCAUCAAGGAUAACGACGAAAGCAUAAUAUAAAAUCGCGUUUUGGCGCCAGGCGGCGCUGCUCUCAUGAAUAUUCGACAUUUUCCGUGAAACCGUGAAGAAAGUUUUUUUUGUUACGUCCCUUACUAGCAUAUACGCCAUUUGUAACGCAUUCAUUUGCGUAACCGCCAGCCAUGUUUCCUGGGAUCGAAGACACUCAGUUUUAAGUAAGUCAUCUGUAUUUCGUAAAUGUUUGGCAUCCCAAUGGUUAUAUCGAAAGUAUCGGAUAGAUCUAACACUGGUAACAGGAGUUUUUAAGAGCAUAUCCAUGAUUCUUAAGAGGGCGGCCGUGGUCGGCAAUUGUGUGUACGCACGCAUUGAAUGUAGGGCCUACACCAUUAAAUCAUGUUAAACCAAAGAAGUAUAAAAUUUAUUUUUAUAGCUCUUUGGUUAAACCUAUAAACUGGUAACUGUUUUUUGCUGUGGGUAUCUUAUUAGUCAUUUAAUUUCUGGCUGGUGACUACUCUUGCCAGUAUUGCUGAUUCAGAACGUUUUGUGACAGGAUGAUUGGAGGCCCCAAUAUUGAUAGUGGGAAUUUAGAAAAUCUUUUUAUUUUCGCAUUUUUGAGCCUUGCUGAGUGAAAAAUACGAUCUUUUAUUAAACAAUGGAUUCUUAGUGUGAUAACUUUAAAAGUAUUCUGUGGUAUAUUAAUGAAACCUUUCACAUUAUAAAUUAAUUUGAUAUUCAAAUUGAUUUUAAGUGAUGUAAUUAUCUUCUUUCAGAUAUUAUACCUUGUUUCUUUCAUAGUUCAUUCCACUACAGCUUGGACUAUGCUCAACAUGUUCAUAUACCCAGCUACAGCCAGGAAGUUUGUCCAGUUUACUUUAAGACCCCAAGAAAAUGUAACAUAUUUGGGAUGUGUUGUAAGGGAUCAGGAAAACAAGUGUUUUAUCUUGUUGAUGAAAGCAACUCGGUUGGUAAAGGGGAAAACAACUUGUGAGCAUGGUACAUCACUGCCUGUAUUGGUGUUCCAUUUGAACAAUGCUGCUGGCCAGAAUAGAUACAAUAACUUGCUGUGGUAUGGUCUGUGGAGAAUUUGCCAGGAUAUCACAGCUCAGUUGGUUGAAUUUUCAAUAAUGAUAGCAGGCCAUACUAAAUUUGAACCUGAGUGGCACUUUGGAUUUUGGAAGAAUUGAUGGAGGAGGGUGAAUGCUUAGACCUUACAUGAUAUUGCAGACAGUGGAUCAGUCAUUGAAGGUCAUAAACAUUGCACAGAUGGUCAACAAUGAUUCAAAACCUGUCACAUUCUACCAGUGGAGAAAUUUCUUAUCACAUUGUUUUAAACCUUCAACAUGUUCAAAGAACAUUAGUAAUUUACCAAGUAUCAUUACUUUAUCAUGUCUGCAAAAACACUUGGAAUUGUUAGUGUUAAAAAUCUUAAGUGACAGUCCAGUUGUGACAGUCAGCAUACUAAAAUCUACUCCUCCUUAUGGAUGCAAUGCCGAACAAGUACUAUUUACAUGGAAUAACAACAGCCGGACAAUGGUACCUAUAUUAACAGAUAAGAGAAUAUUUUUUGUCUGAAAAGUCAAAGGAUACAGUUUGUCCCAAAAUUCUUGUACGGAAAACUUAAACUGUGAUUGAUGAGGAUUUUUCUGAGAACUGGAAAAAGGAAGUGGAUGUAAAAGAUAGAAAUUGUGGUUUAACUAAAGUUUUAAUACACAACACUUAAGCCUGUUUUGUUGUUCAUAUAGGUGUGUUUAGCUGUUAAGGUUACAAAUCCAGUAAAUGUUAUAGUUUCAAUUACAAACAUAAAAUAUCGGCUGGACCUAAAUAUUAAUGUUUUACAAGAGCUUUUAGCCAGUGUAACUUUUAUCAAAAGUUGUUCACCUUUAUGGUAGCAGUUUGCAUAUAACCUAUGGCCUCUAUAAACCUUUUAGUCAUUAUGACAAUUUGGCAUAAGGGUGAAUGUAACUUACAUCUUGAAUGACAAUACCAUACCAGAACUAUUGUUAGCUCAACUAUACGAAGUAUAAGGAGAGCUACCAUACUCGACCAGGCGUUGGCGUCUUUCCGUGUCCCCACCUUGGUUAAAGUUUUUUUUACACUUCCCUCUGUAAUUACUUGAUGAAUUUGAUUCAGACUUAAAAUAGUUAUUCCUCAUCAUCACCCACAUCAUCUGACUUAAGGGCCAUAACUCUGGUACCAAUAUUUCAUGAUUUUAUCCCCCCUUUUCACUUAGAUUUUCAGGUUAAAAAUUUUGAUGCACUUUCACUCUAUCUCUGUUAUUACUGAAUGGAUUUGAUUCAAACUUAAAAUCAACAUCAUCACCCCAUCAUUUGAAGCAAGGUGCAUAACUUUGGCACAACUUUUUCAUGAAUUAUUCCCCCUUUUUACUUAGAAUUUCAGGUUAAAGUUUUGAUGCACGUUCAUUCUAACUCUGUUAUUACUGAAUGUAUUUGAUCAAACUUAAAAUAGUUGUUCAACAUCAUCACCCACAUCAUAUGACAUAAAGUGCAUAACUCUGGCACAAUUUUGUCACGAAUUAUUCCCCCUUUUUACUUAGAAUUUCAGGGUAAAAUUUUGAUGCACUCACUCUAUCUCUGUUAUUACCGAAUUGAUUUGAUUCAAACUUAAAAUAGUUGUUCACCAUCAUCAUCCACAAGAUAUGACACAAGGUUCAUAACUCUGGCACAAAUUUUUCAGGAAUUGUUUCCCCUUUUUACAUAGAAUUUCUGGUUAAAGUUUUGAUGCACUUUUUUUACUCUAUCUCUGUUAUUACUAAAUAGAUUUGAUUCAAACUUAAAAUAAAUGUUCAACAACAUCAUCCACAUCAUAUGACACAAAGUGCAUAACUCUGGCACAAUUUUUUCAUGAAUUGUUUCUUCUUUUUACUUAGAACUUCAGGUUAAAGUUUUGAUGCACUUUAAAUCCAUCUCUGUUAUUACUGAAUGGAUCUGAUUAAAACUUAAAAAUAAUUGUUCACCAUUAUCAUCUUCAUCAUAUGACGCCCAAUGUGGUUCUAGAACGAUCUGUGUAUGAAACGAAUUGAAACCACUACCUGACCCUUGCAUGAUCGUAAGAGGCGACUAAUAGGGUAUUAACACUUGGUUUUGCAGUAACCCUGUAAUUCCAGCAGGUAUGCAAUAUUUGAUUCCAUACUAAGUCUUCAUGUUUUUAUUAUGCCCCCGAAGGGAGGCAUAUUAGUUUUCAACUGCCCGUCCGUUAGUUCGUUCGUUCGUUAGUUACAACGUUAACUUUUUGCAUGAAGGCACUUGACUCGCGAACCACUGCACCCAGGACCUUCAAACUUCACGUGCUGAUAGUACUUACUGAAUACACCACCCCUACU